UGCAUGCGCGUGCUAUACAUGCAGUCGAGCGGACCAAAUCGGAGCUUGCUCUGAUUUGGUCAGCGGCGGACGGGUGAGUAACACGUGGGCAACCUGCCCGCAAGACCGGGAUAACUCCGGGAAACCGGAGCUAAUACCGGAUAACACCGAAGACCGCAUGGUCUUUGGUUGAAAGGCGGCCUUUGGCUGUCACUUGCGGAUGGGCCCGCGGCGCAUUAGCUAGUUGGUGAGGUAACGGCUCACCAAGGCGACGAUGCGUAGCCGGCCUGAGAGGGUGACCGGCCACACUGGGACUGAGACACGGCCCAGACUCCUACGGGAGGCAGCAGUAGGGAAUCUUCCGCAAUGGGCGAAAGCCUGACGGAGCGACGCCGCGUGAGCGAAGAAGGCCUUCGGGUCGUAAAGCUCUGUUGUGAGGGACGAAGGAGCGCCGUUCGAAGAGGGCGGCGCGGUGACGGUACCUCACGAGGAAGCCCCGGCUAACUACGUGCCAGCAGCCGCGGUAAUACGUAGGGGGCGAGCGUUGUCCGGAAUUAUUGGGCGUAAAGCGCGCGCAGGCG
This 560-nucleotide ribosomal RNA is filed under the name Geobacillus kaustophilus. RNAcentral describes it as "bacterial SSU rRNA". It matches the Rfam family "Bacterial small subunit ribosomal RNA", at positions 38 to 577 of the family's 1533-position model. Lineage: Bacteria; Bacillati; Bacillota; Bacilli; Caryophanales; Anoxybacillaceae. The record is from RNAcentral.